RNAcentral lists this ribosomal RNA (271 nucleotides) under uncultured Oscillospiraceae bacterium. RNAcentral's name for it is "partial 16S ribosomal RNA". It matches the Rfam family "Bacterial small subunit ribosomal RNA", at positions 73 to 339 of the family's 1533-position model. The record is from RNAcentral. Lineage: Bacteria; Bacillati; Bacillota; Clostridia; Eubacteriales; Oscillospiraceae.
AUUCGUCCAAGUGAAAUAGAGGACAGUGGCGGACGGGUGAGUAACGCGUGAGGAACCUGCCUUACAGAGGGGGACAACAGUUGGAAACGACUGCUAAUACCGCAUGAUGUGGAGGGGAGACAUCUCCCUUUCACCAAAGGAGCAAUCCGCUGUAAGAUGGCCUCGCGUCUGAUUAGAUAGUUGGUGGGGUAACGGCCUACCAAGUCGACGAUCAGUAGCCGGACUGAGAGGUUGAACGGCCACAUUGGGACUGAGACACGGCCCAGACUCC